GAUUACUUACUUUCAAUAGGACCAAGUGCUUGCAAUUCUUAAAAGGAUGGAAAUUAUUUGAGAAGGUGGUCAUAAGAAGAAGCAAAUGUGAACCUGUGUUUCAUGUUACAAAACAAGUAGCAGCUAAGAAGGAAAAACCAGAAUCUUGCUGCUCUGAAUCGGAUUUGAUAGUGAUUCCGAGAAACUGCUGCUACAUCUAAAAAGGUUGCAGCUCCUUUAACUAAGAAUGGAAAUUUCAAGAAGAA
This is a long non-coding RNA of Papaver somniferum (opium poppy), 245 nucleotides long. RefSeq lists it as uncharacterized. The transcript is spliced from 3 exons. NCBI's taxonomy places the organism in Eukaryota, Viridiplantae, Streptophyta, Magnoliopsida, Ranunculales, Papaveraceae. The record is from RefSeq and is a predicted model, not a curated record.